UACGUAGGGUGCAAGCGUUGUCCGGAAUUAUUGGGCGUAAAGGGCUCGUAGGCGGUCUGUUGCGUCGGGAGUGAAAACUUACAGCUUAACUGUGAGCGUGCUUUCGAUACGGGCAGACUUGAGGCAUUCAGGGGAGAACGGAAUUCCUGGUGUAGCGGUGAAAUGCGCAGAUAUCAGGAGGAACACCGGUGACGAAGGCGGUUCUCUGGGAAUGUCCUGACGCUGAGGAGCGAAAGUGUGGGGAGCGAACAGG
Molecule: ribosomal RNA, 253 nt
Filed under: uncultured bacterium
Lineage: Bacteria
Description: partial 16S ribosomal RNA
Rfam family: Bacterial small subunit ribosomal RNA
Source: RNAcentral